This 172-nucleotide unclassified non-coding RNA is filed under the name uncultured fungus. Its description in RNAcentral is "sequence contains ITS1". The record is from RNAcentral. Lineage: Eukaryota; Fungi.
UUGACUAGUUUAGAAGCGUAAUUCAGAUGACUAGAGUCCAAGAGCCAAAGAGCAUAGACCUCUGGCGGGCGCCCGCCAGGCAGGCAGCCCGCCAAAGCAACAGUUUCGGGUGCGCGAUGGGUUUGAGUGUAUAAACUCGGUAAUGAUCCCUCCGCUGGUUCACCAACGGAGA